This 463-nucleotide ribosomal RNA is filed under the name uncultured bacterium. Its description in RNAcentral is "partial 16S ribosomal RNA". It matches the Rfam family "Bacterial small subunit ribosomal RNA", at positions 28 to 507 of the family's 1533-position model. The record is from RNAcentral.
GACGAACGCUGGCGGCGUGCUUAACACAUGCAAGUCGAACGGAAAGGCCUUUUCGGAGGUACUCGAGUGGCGAACGGGUGAGUAACACGUGGGUGAUCUGCCCUGCACUCUGGGAUAAGCCUGGGAAACUGGGUCUAAUACCGGAUAGGACCGCACUUUAGUGUGUGUGGUGGAAAGUUUUUUCGGGGUAGGAUGAGCCCGCGGCCUAUCAGCUUGUUGGUGGGGUAAUGGCCUACCAAGGCGCCGACGGGUAGCCGGACUGAGAGGUUGGUCGGCCACAUUGGGACUGAGAUACGGCCCAGACUCCUACGGGAGGCAGCAGUGGGGAAUAUUGCACAAGGGGCGCAAGCCGGAUGCAGCGACGCCGCGUGGGGGAUGACGGCCUUCGGGUUGUAAACUCCUUUCGCCAGGGACGAAGCGUUUUGUGACGGUACCUGGAGAAGAAGCACCGGCUAACUACGUG